GACGAACGCUGGCGGCGUGCUUAACACCUGCAAGUCGAACGGAAAGGCCCUUCGGGGUACUCGAGUGGCGAACGGGUGAGUAACACGUGGGUGAUCUGCCCUGCACUUUGGGAUAAGCCUGGGAAACUGGGUCUAAUACCGAAUAGGACCACGCGCUUCAUGGUGUGUGGUGGAAAGCUUUUGCGGUGUGGGAUGGGCCCGCGGCCUAUCAGCUUGUUGGUGGGGUAAUGGCCUACCAAGGCGACGACGGGUAGCCGGCCUGAGAGGGUGACCGGCCACACUGGGACUGAGAUACGGCCCAGACUCCUACGGGAGGCAGCAGUGGGGAAUAUUGCACAAUGGGCGCAAGCCUGAUGCAGCGACGCCGCGUGAGGGAUGACGGCCUUCGGGUUGUAAACCUCUUUCAAUAGGGACGAAGCGCAAGUGACGGUACCUAUAGAAGAAGCACCGGCCAACUACGUG
Molecule: ribosomal RNA, 462 nt
Filed under: uncultured bacterium
Lineage: Bacteria
Description: partial 16S ribosomal RNA
Rfam family: Bacterial small subunit ribosomal RNA
Source: RNAcentral